RNAcentral lists this ribosomal RNA (506 nucleotides) under uncultured Glomus. RNAcentral describes it as "SSU rRNA". It matches the Rfam family "Eukaryotic small subunit ribosomal RNA", at positions 569 to 1078 of the family's 1831-position model. Lineage: Eukaryota; Fungi; Glomeromycota; Glomeromycetes; Glomerales; Glomeraceae. The record is from RNAcentral.
AGCAGCCGCGGUAAUUCCAGCUCCAAUAGCGUAUAUUAAAGUUGUUGCAGUUAAAAAGCUCGUAGUUGAAUUUCGGGGUUAGUAGGUUGGUCAUGCCUCUGGUAUGUACUGGUCUCACUGAUUCCUCCUUCCUGAUGAACCGUAAUGCCAUUAAUUUGGUGUUGCGGGGAAUUUGGACUGUUACUUUGAAAAAAUUAGAGUGUUUAAAGCAAGCUAACGCUUGAAUACAUUAGCAUGGAAUAAUGAAAUAGGACGUUCGAUCCUAUUGUUGGUUUCUAGGAUUGACGCAAUGAUUAAUAGGGAUAGUUGGGGGCAUUAGUAUUCAAUUGUCAGAGGUGAAAUUCUUGGAUUUAUUGAAGACUAACUACUGCGAAAGCAUUUGCCAAGGAUGUUUUCAUUAAUCAAGAACGAAAGUUAGGGGAUCGAAGACGAUCAGAUACCGUCGUAGUCUUAACCAUAAACUAUGCCGACUAGGGAUCGGAUGAUGUUAAUUUUUUAAUGACUCA